This 465-nucleotide ribosomal RNA is filed under the name Starmerella lactis-condensi. Its description in RNAcentral is "eukaryotic LSU rRNA". It matches the Rfam family "Eukaryotic large subunit ribosomal RNA", at positions 85 to 654 of the family's 3401-position model. Lineage: Eukaryota; Fungi; Ascomycota; Dipodascomycetes; Dipodascales; Trichomonascaceae. The record is from RNAcentral.
UACGGCGAGUGACAGCAAAGCUCAGUUUUGAAAGCCUACUUUGUAGGCAUUGUAUUCUGAAGCCUAGAUUCUGGGAAACGGUGUUUAAGUCUUCUGGAAAGGAGCGCCACGGAGGGUGAUAGCCCCGUACGGCACUGACCCCAUUGUAGUUUCUAGGCGUGGAGUCGAGUUGUUUGGGAAUGCAGCUCAAAUGGGAGGUAUGCUCCUUCUAAAGCUAAAUAUUUGCGAGAGACCGAUAGCGAACAAGUACUGUGAAGGAAAGAUGAAAAGAACUUUGAAAAGAGAGUGAAAUAGGACGUGAAAUUGUUGAAAUGGAAGGGUAGGCUGCUAACCAUGUAGGACCGUGUCUGAGGGGAAGAUAAAAGCUACGGAAUGUGACUCUUCGGAGUGUUAUAGCCGUGGUCAAUGUUCCCACUUAGGCGCGAGGAUCUCAGGUUCUACUAAAUGGUGGUCUACCACCCGUCU